RNAcentral lists this ribosomal RNA (518 nucleotides) under Triticum aestivum (bread wheat). RNAcentral describes it as "partial small subunit ribosomal RNA". Lineage: Eukaryota; Viridiplantae; Streptophyta; Magnoliopsida; Poales; Poaceae. The record is from RNAcentral.
CUUACGUAGGUGUUAGAACCAUAUUUUAAACAAACCUACCAAGUCUUAGAAAUCUACUGUACCUACCCUGUAUUAAACAACAUAAGCCUAUAAAAAGUACCAAUGUCGUCAGAACGAGGAAGCCGGGAAGUUGUUGUCAAGUGGCUAAUUAAAUAGUCAGCCGCCGUCGUCCGUUGUGCUCGCCUCUUCCAUCACUCCCUUCCUCUUCUUCGUCGUUUGUAGUCGUCUGUGGGGUGUGGGCAGCACCGCCGGACCUCCCGGGAGUGAUACCUCCCGCGCCUUCAACCGUUGCGGCCGCCGGUCGCCAACCGUCGUCGCUCUUCGCUCACUUUCUGGACCAACUAAACCCUUUCCCUCCUCUUGUCUCCUGACCAGCUAAAUCCCUAUCUUCUUGUCUAUUCCAAACCAUCUAAACCCCCCUUUCCUCCUCUCUGCUCGCACGCACCGUCGUCCAUCAGCCACAUAACCUGAGUCUAUAUAAACCCGACCCGGUUUACGAAUAACAUUUGAAUUAAUAG